RNAcentral lists this long non-coding RNA (474 nucleotides) under Dromaius novaehollandiae (emu). RNAcentral describes it as "lncRNA (ENSDNVG00000007324.1)". The record is from RNAcentral. Lineage: Eukaryota; Metazoa; Chordata; Aves; Casuariiformes; Dromaiidae.
CUAUGUAUGAAACAUGCAUCUUACUUGUGGGCAAUCCUCUGUUUCUCCUAGGUGGCAGCAGGUUUGCAGGUCGAACUGGAGAUAGAGAUUUUUGCAAUGGCAAUUGGGGGGGAAGAUACUGAUGGCCUUGAAGAAAUUUCCCAUCAUAUUGAAAUACUAACAGAAGCAGAGAGACUUCUUCUUCCUGUGAGGGCAACUGUGUUAACCAAUGACAUUUAUGAGCACCGCCCACAAGGAUACCCCCAGGGUGGGAUGGCAGCAACAAUCCGGCUGAUUUCUACAAUCCCCAAGGCCCAGUUCCAGAUCAUACUACCCCAAAAGCUUUCUACUUAAUGUCAGAGCCCAGGAAGAAUGACAUAAAGAUCAUCAAUACUGAAAUAUCUGAAUUUUAGUUGAAUGUUUUUAUGAAAACAUCCCCAUAUAGUCCUUUUCAUUUAAUCAAAUUAACAUGAAUAAAUAUUGUGUGUGUCCCCA